CGGGCUUCUAGCUGAGUUGCUUAUGCAUAUUUCUAAUUUACUGUGAACUGUUUUACUGUUUAGCGUUUUGAGGGAUUGCCUAAAGAUUAUAGGGAUAGGUCUUUAGGAUGUUAACCUAGCUAAAGUCAGGCUUAGGCCUGGUAUCCUAAUUCAUUAUUUACCAAAAGAAUUCAGAAUUAAUAUUGUAACAUAAGCGUAAAAAACUUAUAAAACAACUUUUAACAACGGAUCUCUUGGUUCUCGCAUCGAUGAAGAACGUAGCAAAGUGCGAUAACUAGUGUGAAUUGCAUAUUCAGUGAAUCAUCGAGUCUUUGAACGCAUCUUGCGCUCAAUGGUAUUCCAUUGAGCACGCCUGUUUCAGUAUCAACAACAACCCACAUCCACAAUUUUGUUGUGAAUGGAAGUGAGAGUAUCGACGUUAAAAUUGAACUCUUUAAAACUAUUAGGCCUGAACUAUUGUUCUAUUAGCCUGAACAUUUUUUUAAUAUAAAGGAAUGCUCUAGUUAAAAGACUAUCUUGGGGGCCUCCCAAAUAAAUCAUUUUUUUAAACUUGAUCUGAAAUCAGGUGGGAUUACCCGCUGAACUUAAGCAUAUCAAUAAGCGGAGGAA
Molecule: ribosomal RNA, 609 nt
Filed under: Mucor irregularis
Lineage: Eukaryota; Fungi; Mucoromycota; Mucoromycetes; Mucorales; Mucoraceae
Description: eukaryotic LSU rRNA
Rfam family: 5.8S ribosomal RNA (bases 214-366)
Source: RNAcentral